CAAUAGCGUAUAUUAAAGUUGUUGCAGUUAAAAAGCUAGUAGUUGGAUUUCUGGUUGAAGCGACCGGUCGGGCGUUGAUUCGUCUGCACUGGAGUCGGUUUUGGCCAUCCUCUAGGAAAGUGCGUCUGGUAUUAAGUUAUCGGGCGUAUGAUCCUGGUCUUUUACUGUGAAAAAAUUAGAGUGUUUAAAGCAGGCCUUCGCCUUGAAUACAUUAGCAUGGAAUAAUAAGAUAGGACUUUGGUCUAUUUUGUUGGUUUGCAGACCGAAGUAAUGAUUAAUAGGGAUAGUUGGGGGUAUUUAUAUUCCGAUGUCAGAGGUGAAAUUCUUAGAUUUUCGGAAGAUAAACUUAUGCGAAAGCAUUUACCAAGGAUGUUUNCAUUAA
This 382-nucleotide ribosomal RNA is filed under the name uncultured eukaryote. RNAcentral's name for it is "partial 18S ribosomal RNA". It matches the Rfam family "Eukaryotic small subunit ribosomal RNA", at positions 592 to 976 of the family's 1831-position model. The record is from RNAcentral.